AAGUCGUAACAAGGUCUCCGUUGGUGAACCAGCGGAGGGAUCAUUACAGAGUUGCAAAACUCCCACAAACCAUCGCGAAUCUUACCCGUACGGUUGCCUCGGCGCUGGCGGUCCGGAAGGCCCUCGGGCCCCCGGAUCCUCGGGUCUCCCGCUCGCGGGAGGCUGCCCGCCGGAGUGCCGAAACCCAAACUCUUGAUAUUUUAUGUCUCUCUGAGUAAACUUUUAAAUAAGUCAAAACUUUCAACAACGGAUCUCUUGGUUCUG
RNAcentral lists this unclassified non-coding RNA (264 nucleotides) under Neurospora terricola. RNAcentral's name for it is "partial internal transcribed spacer region". The stretch from base 1 to 46 matches the Rfam family "Eukaryotic small subunit ribosomal RNA", at positions 1786 to 1831 of the family's 1831-position model. Lineage: Eukaryota; Fungi; Ascomycota; Sordariomycetes; Sordariales; Sordariaceae. The record is from RNAcentral.